This is a non-coding RNA of Sulfurimonas sp. GWF2_37_8, 98 nucleotides long. The record is from Rfam. NCBI's taxonomy places the organism in Bacteria, Pseudomonadati, Campylobacterota, Epsilonproteobacteria, Campylobacterales, Sulfurimonadaceae.
UCUUUAGACCUGUGCAAUGGUGACUCAAGACAAUGUGUCAGGGUAGGAAUACAGCAGCACACCUUGUUUUGCUAUGUGCCGCAGGUAUCUGGAGAGGA